GACAGAGGGUGCGAACGUUGUUCGGAAUUACUGGGCGUAAAGCGCAUGUAGGCGGCAGCGCAAGUCGGGCGUGAAAUCCCACGGCUCAACCGUGGAAGUGCACUCGAAACUGCGCAGCUAGAGUCCUGGAGAGGAAGGUGGAAUGCUUGGUGUAGAGGUGAAAUUCGUAGAUAUCAAGCGGAACACCGGUGGCGAAGGCGGCCUUCUGGACAGUAACUGACGCUGAGAUGCGAAAGCGUGGGGAGCAAACAGG
This 253-nucleotide ribosomal RNA is filed under the name uncultured bacterium. Its description in RNAcentral is "partial 16S ribosomal RNA". It matches the Rfam family "Bacterial small subunit ribosomal RNA", at positions 524 to 776 of the family's 1533-position model. The record is from RNAcentral.